GUGUUGGUACAGUGUAGAGCUGUUGGUAGCAGAUACUCAUUUAGUGCCACAGCAGAGGAAGCAGCUAGCUGGCGCUGGGCAGGGCGGGCUCCCAAGAUUAACCCUCUGGCAGGAGCAGCUCUGCCGCCAGCUGGGACGGGCGGUGCCAAGCCUCACAGCACGCUGAGCCUUCCCACGUGAGCGAGGCUCCCUGGCGGCCUCCAUCCCCUCAGCCCCGCUACGAGUGCUUCUUCCUCUGGAUGGCCUCUGCCCUGGCAGCCAGGCUGCGGGCGCAGGCGGUCAGCGCCACGAUGAGGACGCCCAGCAGGAAGGUGACCAGCGGCCAGAGGAAGCAGUGCAGGAGGACGGUCUCGUCGUGGGUGCGCUUCAGCAUGACGUCGUCUGGCCUCAAGUGCUGGUUAAAAUAGCACGUAAAUGGUUGUGAACCCACUUUCUCUUUCCAGUAUUUCUGCUUGUACGUGACAUUCUCAGAGUUCUCCUGGUCAUCUCUGGCACAGGGAGGGAUGUAGGAACACUUGGGGUUGGUGCGGAGCUGCCGCUCGUCCUCGUGCAGCAGCGCGGGCGCGGCGGAGCGGGAGGUGCGCACCAGCACCUGCAAGCACGGGUAGCGGGCGGUGCCCCGGCAGGCGGCCCCGCACGAGAAGGUGCAGGCGAAGCGCUCGCCCAGCUGCCGCACCGCCAGCACCGUGCAGUUGGCGGCGCCGCCGCCGCCCCGCUCCUGCAGCGCCGGGCGCAGCCAGAAGCAGCCCAACCCCAGCAGCGAGAGCAGCCCGGCGGCGAUGAGCAGGAAGCCCAGCCGCAUGCUCUUGUCCUCCGCCUCCGUGUACUCGUAAGCCGCCCGGCCCCGCGCCAUCGCCCGCCUGCCGCUCGCCGACGGGCAGCCGCUGCCAUCGGCCGCGGCUCGGCGCACCCC
This 913-nucleotide long non-coding RNA is filed under the name Gallus gallus (chicken). The record is from RNAcentral. Lineage: Eukaryota; Metazoa; Chordata; Aves; Galliformes; Phasianidae.